CUGAACACCAGGCAAAAAUUCAGCUCUUAGAGUGCUAAGAUUUCAUUUUGCAAAGAAAGAGGGCUGCCAGGACCAAGGAGGGAGGAACAGUGGCUCUCAUUUUGAACUAGGAUAAACACUUCUUGAAAUUCCAGGGACUAAUAUUGAGAUGAACCAGGCAUGGAGACCAAGCUGCAAAAUUCCAGAAAUGACCUCCAGGUUGUUAGUCUACAACCCAGCCAUCGUCAAGAUAACAUUAGACUGCGUUCCAGGUGGACCAUGACUCAAGAUAGCCACCAGACCAAGGCACGGACACCUAGCACCCAGCACCACUCCUGCAUGCCUCCCACUCUAAGUUCCCCUUUAUAAACACCUCUCCACAGUCGAAAGUUUGAAAUCGUCUUUUAAGGGCAUGAGCUUGGCCAUUCCCAGAUCUUGGCAUUUGAAUAAAGUAGCUCUCUGUUCAUCACACCCCGCUUCUCGUGUUUUCAGCCUCUGAGUGGAGCAGCCAGACUUGCGUGUGGUGACGCUACUGUAUGGCUACAUCAAACAGAAAUAGAGACCAAAGAAGAGAAUGAGGAGAGUAAAGUUAGCAGAAGUGGAAAAAUA
Molecule: long non-coding RNA, 588 nt
Filed under: Homo sapiens (human)
Lineage: Eukaryota; Metazoa; Chordata; Mammalia; Primates; Hominidae
Description: HSALNT0214264
Source: RNAcentral